This is a long non-coding RNA of Zingiber officinale, 244 nucleotides long. RefSeq lists it as uncharacterized. The transcript is spliced from 2 exons. Lineage: Eukaryota; Viridiplantae; Streptophyta; Magnoliopsida; Zingiberales; Zingiberaceae. The record is from RefSeq and is a predicted model, not a curated record.
AGUCGAGUUAUUACUCAUGGUGGGCAAGACACAUCUGGUUUGAUUCAAGGUCACUCACAAGUUACUGUCGAAAGAGAUCUUGUUUCACAAGCUGAAGAAGAGGACAUGGAGGCUCUCCUUGGCACGUAUGUUAUGGGAAUUGGUGAAGCAGAAGCAUUUUCAGAAAGGUUAAAGAGGGAACUUCUGGCUUUAGAAGCAGCAAAUGUUCAUGCACUUGUUGAAUGUGAAUCCAUAAUAGAGGAGG